GAUGAACGCUAGCGGCAGGCCUAACACAUGCAAGUCGAGGGGUAAGGUAGCAAUACCUGAGACCGGCGCACGGGUGCGUAACGCGUAUGCAAUCUACCUUUUACAGAGGGAUAGCCCAGAGAAAUUUGGAUUAAUACCUCAUAGCAUAGCAGCUUCGCAUGAAGUCACUAUUAAAGUUCCAACGGUAAAAGAUGAGCAUGCGUCCUAUUAGCUAGAUGGUAAGGUAACGGCUUACCAUGGCUACGAUAGGUAGGGGUCCUGAGAGGGAGAUCCCCCACACUGGUACUGAGACACGGACCAGACUCCUACGGGAGGCAGCAGUGAGGAAUAUUGGACAAUGGGCGCAAAGCCUGAUCCAGCCAUGCCGCGUGCAGGAAGACGCAUCUAUGGUGUGUAAAACUGCUUUUGUACGGGAAGAAACACUCCUACGUGUAGGAGCUUGACGGUACCGUAAGAAUAAGGAUCGGCU
RNAcentral lists this ribosomal RNA (469 nucleotides) under uncultured bacterium. RNAcentral describes it as "bacterial SSU rRNA". It matches the Rfam family "Bacterial small subunit ribosomal RNA", at positions 28 to 498 of the family's 1533-position model. The record is from RNAcentral.